AGUGAACGCUGGCGGUAGGCCUAACACAUGCAAGUCGAACGGCAGCACAGUAAGUUCUUGCUCUUACGGGUGGCGAGUGGCGGACGGGAGAGGAAUACAACCGAAUCUACAUUUUCGGGGGGGAUAACGUAGGGAGACUUACGCUAAUACCGCAUACGACCUACGGGUGAAAGCAUUGGAUAUUCGGACCUUGCGGGAUUGAAUGAGCCGAUGCCGGACUAGCUAGUUGGCGGGGUAAGGGCCCACCAAGGCAACGAUCCGUAGCUGGUCUGAGAGGGUGAUCAGCCACACUGGAACUGAGACACGGUCCAGACUCCUACGGGAGGCAGCAGUGGGGAAUAUUGGACAAUGGGCGCAAGCCUGAUCCAGCCAUACCGCGUGGGUGAAGAAGGCCUUCGGGUUGUAAAGCCCUUUUGUUGGGAAAGAAAAGCAGCAGGUUAAUACCCCGCUGUUCUGACGGUACCCAAUGAAUAAGCACCGGCUAACUUCGUG
RNAcentral lists this ribosomal RNA (492 nucleotides) under uncultured bacterium. Its description in RNAcentral is "partial 16S ribosomal RNA". It matches the Rfam family "Bacterial small subunit ribosomal RNA", at positions 29 to 507 of the family's 1533-position model. The record is from RNAcentral.